This is a small nuclear RNA of Diorhabda carinulata, 107 nucleotides long. Lineage: Eukaryota; Metazoa; Arthropoda; Insecta; Coleoptera; Chrysomelidae. The record is from RefSeq and is a predicted model, not a curated record.
GUACUUGCUUCGGCAGUACAUAUACUGAAAUUGAAACGGUUCAGAGAAUAUGAGUAUGGCCCCUGCGUAAGUAUGUCAAGGAAUAUCGUGAAGCGUUUCACAUUUUU